UUAUUUAUCCUUCUUGAAUUGCGACAUCAAGAUUCGUUUAUCAUGAGCGACAUCAAGAUUCGUUUAUCAUGAGCGACAUCAAGAUUCGUUUAUCAUGACUUGGUAUUUUAUUCGUCUAUGCAAUUUAGCGACUGACUACAAAUACAAUUUCACAAUCGUUAAACGAGAAGGUAAGUAGAUGGUGCCGAAUUCCGUACAUUUUCGCAUUCACGUUUAAAGAUUUGUUGGAAAUUCACAAGUUCGGUAGGCUGGGGUUGUCGGAAAAGAAGGUUCUGCAGGGCAUUAUAAUUAUCGCGUGUAGGAACAUUUGGUUGGCCAGAAAUAAAGCGGUUUUUUCAGGCUCUCGGGUUAGUGUGGAAGAAGUUUUCAGUGAUAUUAGAACUUUGAGAUUCUUUUGGUUGAAGCAUAGGUCACCUUUUCAGUCCAUAGUGUGGAACGAUUGGUGUAAUUUUGUAAUUAUGUAGUUUGUGUUUGUUGUUGUCCAGCUCGGUCUUCGGGCUCG
RNAcentral lists this long non-coding RNA (502 nucleotides) under Helianthus annuus (common sunflower). Lineage: Eukaryota; Viridiplantae; Streptophyta; Magnoliopsida; Asterales; Asteraceae. The record is from RNAcentral.